RNAcentral lists this long non-coding RNA (2037 nucleotides) under Trifolium pratense (red clover). RNAcentral's name for it is "long non-coding RNA (TPRA_LNC001312)". Lineage: Eukaryota; Viridiplantae; Streptophyta; Magnoliopsida; Fabales; Fabaceae. The record is from RNAcentral.
GUAACCACCCUAACCCAAUAUUCAAUUUAUAUUAAUAAAAGAAUGUUUGUUCAAAAACUACGCAACGGAUAAAAAGUUUUAAAACUCGAAGUCAAAAUGAAUUAUGAAAUAUUGGCUCAAGGUGUUACAUUCUUCAUUAAAAAAAACACUACUAAUAAAAUUGAGUAGUAAAUAUCACUUGUGCAAAAUUCCUUUUAUACAAUAUACACAUUUAAUUUAAAUAAAACAACAACAAAUAAAGACUCUAUGAACCCUUCCCCGUGUCACAAUCAGAGCAGAGCUUUCACCAUCAACGCGAACACCAACAAACAUACAACCUGAGAACCUGAACCCCCAACGGUUCAGCACAAACACAAAACAGAUGUUAGAUAACAUAAUUAUUAAAAGAGACUGAAUAUGACGCAUAACAGACACUGAAUAAAAUAAAUACAAUUGAGUAAAUUCAACUCAUACAAUCACCACAUAUACAGACAUGUAUAGAUCUACUCAGACAUAUAUCGGACAUAUAUCAAAUAUAUUCAGACAUGUAUUAGACAUAUUCAUUUAUCAUUUACUCGUCACAUUUGAGAAGUAUAAACUCUCAAACAAAGAAAUGAAAUACACAAUGUCGAGUAACAUUUAACAUUUAAGAAUGUCACGUAAUUCCUAAUGCAUUCUAAUGUCACAUAGAUAUGAUGUCACCUAGACAUAUCUAUAUGCAUGUGGUACCAAUUCAUCAUAACUUUGGAUAACUUAACCCAAGUGUUUUAGAUCAUCGUCUCUAAAACAUUUUAGAUCAUCGUCUCUAGAAUAACAGUAAACUAGAUCAUCGUCUCUAGGAUACUCAUCAAUAGACACAACUUAUGAAUGCAUGAAAUGUGCAUAUACCAAAUAUAUGGUUUUAUCUCAACUAUAACAUCAACACAAUAAGGAUAAUACAAUCCAAAUAUUCCAAAUCAUCGUCUUUAGAAUACCUUCACUCAUGAUAAAUCAUCAUUUAUCAUCAUCAAUAAAUCAACACGAUAAUUCAACAUCAUAAAUCAAUAAUAUUAUGAUUCAUCGUCAAUACAUCAUAACAUAAUCACACUAAUUUUCAAUAAGAUUUAUUCAUCAAUAAAUUUAUCAACAUAAUCAUCAUAAUAAAUCAUCAAUAAUCAACAUCAUGACUACCAUAAUCUAUCAACAACCUAAUCAUCAUCAUUAAUCAACAACAUAUUCAUUUACAAGUCGUUAAAGUCGCACAUCAUCAAGGGCUCGCCAAUUCCAAUUAACUAAGCAUACGAAAGUUAAUUUAAACUAAAGUAAUGCCAAAAUAUAAGCAAACACCAAUAACCAAGCAUCAUAUCAGAAAACAAACUCCAUAAUCAGAAUCUACACGAAAAAUUAAGCAAAAUAGGUUCCGGGUGCAUAAGUCAACAAAAAGUCAAACUGUCAAACAAAAGUAGCGUCGGUCUUAGCGUCGACGGGAUUCGACGCAACUUCUGUUCUGCAGAAAUUGCAGAAAACGUGAUUUUGCUCGGGCUUACUCAAAUAAUCACUUAAAAGUCCCGAAAUCACUUAAUAAAGCUUAGAAAAUUGAUAUCCAACUAAUACCAAACUUAUAGCUUAUUAAAAACAACUUAAAACAUCAAAAACAACUUAUUUAAUCAUGGAUUUUCAUCAUUUUGCAUAAACUCAUAAUAUUCAUCAAACACAACAAUCAACACAUAAAAGAUACAAUUUUCAUCAUGGUAAUUCAUCAAUCAAACAUAAACAAGCAUACAAUUCAUGUAUCAACACAUAAAACUUUCAAAUAAACACAUUCCCAAUUCAACCCUCCCAAAAACCCAUAUGAGAUGGUGAGAGUUUGGGCUAGAGAAAAGAAUUAUCUCCCCUCUCAUGAAUCCAUCUCAAUAAUUAUGUUACUAUCCUCUUACCUUAGAUUUCUUGAAAUCUUUGUUCUUCUCUUGAUUUUGUUCUAUGCUUCUUAGACCUUCCUUUCUCUUCUUUUCUUUUUCACGAGAACUCUUCUUCUUUUCUUGUUUAUGAAAAAAAAUGAAUUUUCUUUCUAUAUUUUUC